UCCGACCUCAGAUCGGACAGAUUACCCGCUGAAUUUAAGCAUAUCA
RNAcentral lists this ribosomal RNA (46 nucleotides) under Arianta arbustorum arbustorum. Its description in RNAcentral is "partial 28S ribosomal RNA". Lineage: Eukaryota; Metazoa; Mollusca; Gastropoda; Stylommatophora; Helicidae. The record is from RNAcentral.